RNAcentral lists this ribosomal RNA (253 nucleotides) under uncultured bacterium. Its description in RNAcentral is "partial 16S ribosomal RNA". It matches the Rfam family "Bacterial small subunit ribosomal RNA", at positions 524 to 776 of the family's 1533-position model. The record is from RNAcentral.
UACGUAGGGUGCGAGCGUUAAUCGGAAUUACUGGGCGUAAAGCGUGCGCAGGCGGUUUCUUAAGCCAGACGUGAAAUCCCCGGGCUUAACCUGGGAACUGCGUUUGGAACUGGGAGACUAGAGUGUGUCAGAGGGAGGUGGAAUUCCGCGUGUAGCAGUGAAAUGCGUAGAUAUGCGGAGGAACACCGAUGGCGAAGGCAGCCUCCUGGGAUAACACUGACGCUCAUGCACGAAAGCGUGGGGAGCAAACAGG